UAUGAGUUAUACCUAUACUUACUCCAAUCACACCAAUCAGACCCCAGCUGACCAUAAGUACUAGUGAAAGUCAACAACACCAGUCCAUAGUAGAUAUGCAUUGCCAGAGCAUACUACUUCAACCAACCUCUGAAUCUUCAUAUUCUCACUCCUUGAAAGAACUGCCACUUCUGAUCGUGGUGUUUGAAUAACAAGAUUCAUGG
Molecule: long non-coding RNA, 203 nt
Filed under: Lathyrus oleraceus (garden pea)
Lineage: Eukaryota; Viridiplantae; Streptophyta; Magnoliopsida; Fabales; Fabaceae
Description: Pisum sativum (pea) long non-coding RNA (PSAT_LNC014630)
Source: RNAcentral